GCCGGGCGCGGUGGCUCGCCCCUGUGAUCCCAGCAACUUGGGAGGCUGAGGCAGGAGGAUCACAAGUUGGACUGAGGUCAACUUGGCCAUUUAGCAAGACUUUGUCUCCA
RNAcentral lists this small RNA (110 nucleotides) under Marmota monax (woodchuck). Lineage: Eukaryota; Metazoa; Chordata; Mammalia; Rodentia; Sciuridae. The record is from RNAcentral.